UUAAGCGACUAAGCGUACACGGUGGAUGCCCUGGCAGUCAGAGGCGAUGAAGGACGUGCUAAUCUGCGAAAAGCGUCGGUAAGGUGAUAUGAACCGUUACAGCCGGCGAUGUCCGAAUGGGGAAACCCAGUGCAAUUCGUUGCACUAUCGUUAACUGAAUACAUAGGUUAACGAGGCGAACCGGGGGAACUGAAACAUCUAAGUACCCCGAGGAAAAGAAAUCAACCGAGAUUCCCCCAGUAGCGGCGAGCGAACGGGGAGCAGCCCAGAGUCUGAAUCAGCUUGUGUGUUAGUGGAACGGUCUGGAAAGUCCGACGGUACAGGGUGAUAGUCCCGUACACCAAAAUGCACAGGUUGUGAACUCGAAGAGUAGGGCGGGACACGUGGUAUCCUGUCUGAAUAUGGGGGGACCAUCCUCCAAGGCUAAAUACUCCUGACUGACCGAUAGUGAACCAGUACCGUGAGGGAAAGGCGAAAAGAACCCCGGCGAGGGGAGUGAAAAAGAACCUGAAACCGUGUACGUACAAGCAGUGGGAGCACCUUCGGGUGUGACUGCGUACCUUUUGUAUAAUGGGUCAGCGACUUAUAUUCUGUAGCAAGGUUAACCGUAUAGGGGAGCCGCAGGGAAACCGAGUCUUAACUGGGCGUUAAGUUGCAGGGUAUAGACCCGAAACCCGGUGAUCUAGCCAUGGGCAGGUUGAAGGUUGGGUAACACUAACUGGAGGACCGAACCGACUAAUGUUGAAAAAUUAGCGGAUGACUUGUGGCUGGGGGUGAAAGGCCAAUCAAACCGGGAGAUAGCUGGUUCUCCCCGAAAGCUAUUUAGGUAGCGCCUCGUGAACUCAUCUUCGGGGGUAGAGCACUGUUUCGGCUAGGGGGUCAUCCCGACUUACCAACCCGAUGCAAACUACGAAUACCGAAGAAUGUUAUCACGGGAGACACACGGCGGGUGCUAACGUCCGUCGUGAAGAGGGAAACAACCCAGACCGCCAGCUAAGGUCCCAAAGUCAUGGUUAAGUGGGAAACGAUGUGGGAAGGCACAGACAGCCAGGAUGUUGGCUUAGAAGCAGCCAUCAUUUAAAGAAAGCGUAAUAGCUCACUGGUCGAGUCGGCCUGCGCGGAAGAUGUAACGGGGCUAAACCAUGCACCGAAGCUGCGGCAGCGACACUAUGUGUUGUUGGGUAGGGGAGCGUUCUGUAAGCCUGCGAAGGUGUGCUGUGAGGCAUGCUGGAGGUAUCAGAAGUGCGAAUGCUGACAUAAGUAACGAUAAAGCGGGUGAAAAGCCCGCUCGCCGGAAGACCAAGGGUUCCUGUCCAACGUUAAUCGGGGCAGGGUGAGUCGACCCCUAAGGCGAGGCCGAAAGGCGUAGUCGAUGGGAAACAGGUUAAUAUUCCUGUACUUGGUGUUACUGCGAAGGGGGGACGGAGAAGGCUAUGUUAGCCGGGCGACGGUUGUCCCGGUUUAAGCAUGUAGGCUGAUUGUCCAGGCAAAUCCGGAUAAUCAAGGCUGAGGUGUGAUGACGAGGCACUACGGUGCUGAAGUAACAAAUGCCCUGCUUCCAGGAAAAGCCUCUAAGCAUCAGGUAACAUCAAAUCGUACCCCAAACCGACACAGGUGGUCAGGUAGAGAAUACCAAGGCGCUUGAGAGAACUCGGGUGAAGGAACUAGGCAAAAUGGUGCCGUAACUUCGGGAGAAGGCACGCUGGUGUGUAGGUGAAGUCCCUGCGGAUGGAGCUGAGACCAGUCGAAGAUACCAGCUGGCUGCAACUGUUUAUUAAAAACACAGCACUGUGCAAACACGAAAGUGGACGUAUACGGUGUGACGCCUGCCCGGUGCCGGAAGGUUAAUUGAUGGGGUUAUCCGUAAGGAGAAGCUCUUGAUCGAAGCCCCGGUAAACGGCGGCCGUAACUAUAACGGUCCUAAGGUAGCGAAAUUCCUUGUCGGGUAAGUUCCGACCUGCACGAAUGGCGUAAUGAUGGCCAGGCUGUCUCCACCCGAGACUCAGUGAAAUUGAACUCGCUGUGAAGAUGCAGUGUACCCGCGGCAAGACGGAAAGACCCCGUGAACCUUUACUAUAGCUUGACACUGAACAUUGAGCCUUGAUGUGUAGGAUAGGUGGGAGGCUUUGAAGCGUGGACGCCAGUCUGCGUGGAGCCAACCUUGAAAUACCACCCUUUAAUGUUUGAUGUUCUAACGUUGGCCCCUGACCGGGGUUGCGGACAGUGUCUGGUGGGUAGUUUGACUGGGGCGGUCUCCUCCCAAAGCGUAACGGAGGAGCACGAAGGUUAGCUAAUCCUGGUCGGACAUCAGGAGGUUAGUGCAAUGGCAUAAGCUAGCUUGACUGCGAGCGUGACGGCGCGAGCAGGUGCGAAAGCAGGUCAUAGUGAUCCGGUGGUUCUGAAUGGAAGGGCCAUCGCUCAACGGAUAAAAGGUACUCCGGGGAUAACAGGCUGAUACCGCCCAAGAGUUCAUAUCGACGGCGGUGUUUGGCACCUCGAUGUCGGCUCAUCACAUCCUGGGGCUGAAGUAGGUCCCAAGGGUAUGGCUGUUCGCCAUUUAAAGUGGUACGCGAGCUGGGUUUAGAACGUCGUGAGACAGUUCGGUCCCUAUCUGCCGUGGGCGCUGGAGAAUUGAGGGGGGCUGCUCCUAGUACGAGAGGACCGGAGUGGACGCAUCACUGGUGUUCGGGUUGUCAUGCCAAUGGCACUGCCCGGUAGCUAAAUGCGGAAGAGAUAAGUGCUGAAAGCAUCUAAGCACGAAACUUGCCCCGAGAUGAGUUCUCCCUGAGACUAUAAGUCUCCUGAAGGAACGUUAAAGACGAUGACGUUGAUAGGCCGGGUGUGUAAGCGCAGCGAUGCGUUGAGCUAACCGGUACUAAUGAACCGUGAGGCUUAACCUU
Molecule: ribosomal RNA, 2900 nt
Filed under: Klebsiella pneumoniae
Lineage: Bacteria; Pseudomonadati; Pseudomonadota; Gammaproteobacteria; Enterobacterales; Enterobacteriaceae
Also listed under: 9 other names
Description: bacterial LSU rRNA
Rfam family: Bacterial large subunit ribosomal RNA
Source: RNAcentral